This 253-nucleotide ribosomal RNA is filed under the name uncultured bacterium. Its description in RNAcentral is "partial 16S ribosomal RNA". It matches the Rfam family "Bacterial small subunit ribosomal RNA", at positions 524 to 776 of the family's 1533-position model. The record is from RNAcentral.
UACGAAGGGUGCAAGCGUUACUCGGAAUUACUGGGCGUAAAGCGUGCGUAGGUGGUGAGUUAAGUCUGUCGUGAAAGCCCCGGGCUCAACCUGGGAAUGGCGAUGGAUACUGGCUCGCUAGAGUGCGGUAGAGGAGAGUGGAAUUCCCGGUGUAGCAGUGAAUUGCGUAGAGAUGUGGAGGAACACCAGUGGCGAAGGCGACUCUUUGGUCUGUAACUGACGCUGAGGCGCGAAAGCGUGGGGAGCAAACAGG